UACGUAGGAUCCGAGCGUUGUCCGAAUUUACUGGGCGUAAAGAGCGCGUAGGCGGUUUGUUAAGUCUCAUGUGUAAUCUCCCGGCUCAACUGGGAGGGGUCAUGGGAUACUGGCAGACUUGAGGAUAGCAGAGGAAAGCGGAAUUCCCGGAGUAGUGGUGAAAUGCGUAGAUACCGGGAGGAACACCAGAGGCGAAGGCGGCUUUCUGGGCUAUUUCUGACGCUGAGGCGCGAAAGCGUGGGGAGCGAAC
Molecule: ribosomal RNA, 250 nt
Filed under: uncultured bacterium
Lineage: Bacteria
Description: partial 16S ribosomal RNA
Rfam family: Bacterial small subunit ribosomal RNA
Source: RNAcentral